UAAUGGGUCCUUGCAAAGAAACGAAGAAGCACAAAGGUGUGUGUAUAUAUAGAUAUAGCCUAGAGCCUGGCCAAUUCUCCGGGGAGCAUCCUCAGCAACAGCAUCUAGGAGCGCCAUCCCUUCGGGAAUCUCAUCUCGGUCUUCCAAAGUAGCAUCUUCAAGGGAGAACAUGAAGAAGAGGAAAGUGAUGGAUAAGAGGAAAGUGACACAGAAGAAGCAGGAAGGAAUGAAGAAGUUGCUCGGUGAAAAAUCUAGCUAGUAUGAAUGUUGCCAGCACCACUAUCGUGGAGCCACUUCUUGAGAUGCUACGCUUGUGCAUGAUGCAAUAGUUAGUCGAUAGUACUGCCUCACUCCAAGGAAAGAAAAAGGAGUACGGCAUCACACCAGGUAGUAAGGGAAGGUUAGCAGCGUGUAUAAUCCAAACAUCCUCCUGAGUAGCAGUGUAGAGAUUAAGCAUUUUCCGAGUCGGGAGGGAUCAACCGCCCUACCUAGUCUCCUCAAGCCAAAAACAACAACAGUAACAACGGAUACAACAACAACAACAAUGAUAAGACAUUUUAGUCUAGCUAGGCAAAUGGAAGCCCAAGAAAAAGGCCAUGGCAUGACUGAUGAGAAUGAUGCCAUGUAAGAAGCAUGGUGGAUAGCAAUGAAUGAGGAUGGACUGAAGAAAGUGAUGGAAAAAUGUUGGAAGAAUCUUGAAUAAAAAUCUGCCUCCUAGGGGCUCCCACUUAGAGAAAGGGCUGCAGCGUAACCGAUUA
Molecule: long non-coding RNA, 758 nt
Filed under: Nicotiana benthamiana
Lineage: Eukaryota; Viridiplantae; Streptophyta; Magnoliopsida; Solanales; Solanaceae
Description: long non-coding RNA (NBEN_LNC036282)
Source: RNAcentral